AUUGAACGCUGGCGGCAUGCCUUACACAUGCAAGUCGAACGGCAGCACGGGAGCAAUCCUGGUGGCGAGUGGCGAACGGGUGAGUAAUAUAUCGGAGCGUGCCCAGUAGUGGGGGAUAGCCCGGCGAAAGCCGGAUUAAUACCGCAUACGACCUGAGGGUGAAAGCGGGGGAUCGCAAGACCUCGCGCUAUUGGAGCGGCCGAUAUCAGAUUAGCUAGUUGGUGGGGUAAAGGCCUACCAAGGCUACGAUCUGUAGUUGGUCUGAGAGGACGACCAGCCACACUGGGACUGAGACACGGCCCAGACUCCUACGGGAGGCAGCAGUGGGGAAUUUUGGACAAUGGGCGCAAGCCUGAUCCAGCAAUGCCGCGUGCAGGAAGAAGGCCUUCGGGUUGUAAACCGCUUUUGUCAGGGAAGAAAUCUUCUGGGCUAAUACCCCGGGAGGAUGACGGUACCUGAAGAAUAAGCACCGGCUAACUACGUG
RNAcentral lists this ribosomal RNA (484 nucleotides) under uncultured bacterium. RNAcentral's name for it is "bacterial SSU rRNA". It matches the Rfam family "Bacterial small subunit ribosomal RNA", at positions 30 to 507 of the family's 1533-position model. The record is from RNAcentral.